AGCGAGGCCAGUUGAUGAGCCCUGAAGCAUCUCCCAAAGCUUUCCUGAUUGCUGCAAGAGGACCAAAGCUGGAGGCUCGGCAGGACGAAGGUCAUCCCCGAGCCCACCAGCUCGUCAUGAAUAUAGGCUUUUGCACGCGAAGACCGCCUUUAUCAGGGAGGGCUGCAGUCAUGUCCCCUUUCAAAACAGUCGUUGUGGCAAUCCUUGGUGCCAAUGUGUUUUCUUAGGGAAGAGGACCAAGGCUACUAUAAAAGAGAGACCCAGUCU
This 267-nucleotide long non-coding RNA is filed under the name Hordeum vulgare. Its description in RNAcentral is "long non-coding RNA (HVUL_LNC000928)". The record is from RNAcentral. Lineage: Eukaryota; Viridiplantae; Streptophyta; Magnoliopsida; Poales; Poaceae.